UUCUUUCUAAAAUUAGGGAUUCCAUUGGUUGGUAUGCAACAACAAUAAUAAUAACAAAAAAGCUCAAUAAACUUGGCUUCCCCAGUGCUCUGAUAGCUGCAUAUCCAUUUGUUGGAAUCUUAGACAUCUAGACGCACACCAUGUGAACUAAAAGCAGUUUGCAAUCUUCCUAAAGAAUUCUGACACUGACUCCUGCCUUCAGCUGAAAGGCUGCCACGUCCUGGG
RNAcentral lists this long non-coding RNA (225 nucleotides) under Oryctolagus cuniculus (rabbit). RNAcentral describes it as "lncRNA (ENSOCUG00000030072.1)". Lineage: Eukaryota; Metazoa; Chordata; Mammalia; Lagomorpha; Leporidae. The record is from RNAcentral.